Molecule: ribosomal RNA, 490 nt
Filed under: uncultured bacterium
Lineage: Bacteria
Description: bacterial SSU rRNA
Rfam family: Bacterial small subunit ribosomal RNA
Source: RNAcentral
UCAGGAUGAACGCUAGCGGCAGGCUUAAUACAUGCAAGUCGAGGGGCAGCACGGGUAGCAAUACCUGGUGGCGACCGGCAAACGGGUGCGGAACACGUACGCAAACUUUCCCAAAACUGGUGAAUAGCCCUCCGAAAGGAGGAUUAAUACACCGUAACAUAACGAGUAGGCAUCUACUUGUUAUUAUAGGCUUCGGCCGGUUUUGGAUGGGCGUGCGCCUGAUUAGGUAGUUGGCGGGGUAACGGCCACCAAGCCUGCGAUCAGUAACUGGUGUGAGAGCACGACCAGUCACACGGGCACUGAGACACGGGCCCGACUCCUACGGGAGGCAGCAGUAAGGAAUAUUGGUCAAUGGACGAAAGUCUGAACCAGCCAUGCCGCGUGAAGGAUUAAGGCCCUCUGGGUUGUAAACUUCUUUUAUCUGGGACGAAAAAAGGGCUUUCUAGCUCACUUGACGGUACCAGAGGAAUAAGCACCGGCUAACUCCGUG